AGCUCCAAUAGCGUAUAUUAAAGUUGUUGCAGUUAAAAGCUCGUAGUUGGAUUUCUGGGUCAAGCUCCUGGUCCGCCGCUAGUCGGUGCAGACUGUGUGCAGCGUUGGCUCAUCCUUGUGGGAAAGGCAGUGCGUCGUUCAUUCGUCAGCUGUCGGAACCGCAUCUUUUACUGUGAAAAAUUAGAGUGUUCAAAGCAGGCUUACGCUGUGAAUACAUUAGCAUGGAAUAAUAAGAUAGGACUUUGGUUCUAUUUUGUUGGUUGGAGGCCAAGGUAAUGAUUAAUAGGGAUAGUUGGGGGUAUUCAUAUUUAAUUGUCAGAGGUGAAAUUCUUGGAUUUAUGAAAGAUGAACUUAUGCGAAAGCAUUUACCAAGGAUGUUUUCA
RNAcentral lists this ribosomal RNA (383 nucleotides) under uncultured eukaryote. RNAcentral describes it as "SSU rRNA". It matches the Rfam family "Eukaryotic small subunit ribosomal RNA", at positions 587 to 972 of the family's 1831-position model. The record is from RNAcentral.